AAUGGCCGCAGUAUUUUGACUGUGCAAAGGUAGCAUAAUCAUUAGUUUCUUAAUUAGGAACUGGAAUGAAAGGUUGGACGAGAAAAUAUCUGUCUCUUUAUAAAUUUUUUAGAAUUUUAUUUUUAAGUUAAAAAGCUUAAAUUUUUUUAAAAGACGAGAAGACCCUAUAGAGUUUUAUAUAUGUUAUGUUAAUAAUUUUAAUCGAAUUAAUAGAAUUUUAGUUUAAAAUAUAUUUAGUUGGGGUGAUUAAAAAAUUUAGUAAACUUUUUUUUUAUAAAAACAUUUAUUUAUGAUUUAUUGAUCCAUUUAUUGUUAUGAUUAAAAGAAUAAAUUACCUUAGGGAUAACAGCGUAAUUUCUUUUUAGAGUUCAAAUCGAUAAAGAAGUUUGCGACCUCGAUGUUGGAUUAAAAUUUAAUUUUGGUGUAGAAGCUAAAAUAUUAGGUCUGUUCGACCUUUAAAAUUUUACAUGAUCUGAGU
RNAcentral lists this ribosomal RNA (478 nucleotides) under Eubadura yasukoae. Its description in RNAcentral is "Osakatheta yasukoae partial 16S ribosomal RNA". It matches the Rfam family "Bacterial large subunit ribosomal RNA", at positions 1926 to 2610 of the family's 2925-position model. Lineage: Eukaryota; Metazoa; Arthropoda; Insecta; Coleoptera; Staphylinidae. The record is from RNAcentral.